UCGAAAGCCUGUCCCAGUUCGGACUGGAGUCUGCAACCCGACUCCACGAAGUUGGAUUCGCUAGUAAUCGCGCAUCAGCCAUGGCGCGGUGAAUACGUUCCCGGGCCUUGUACACACCGCCCGUCAAGCCAUGGGAGCCGGGGGCGCCUGAAGUCCGGGACCGCGAGGACCGGCCUAGGGCGAAACUGGUAACUGGGCGUAAGUCGUAACAAGGUAUC
This 218-nucleotide ribosomal RNA is filed under the name uncultured bacterium. RNAcentral describes it as "partial 16S ribosomal RNA". It matches the Rfam family "Bacterial small subunit ribosomal RNA", at positions 1275 to 1500 of the family's 1533-position model. The record is from RNAcentral.